This 759-nucleotide ribosomal RNA is filed under the name Triticum aestivum (bread wheat). RNAcentral describes it as "partial small subunit ribosomal RNA". The record is from RNAcentral. Lineage: Eukaryota; Viridiplantae; Streptophyta; Magnoliopsida; Poales; Poaceae.
AUGGCUUCUCUGAUCCAUCCAUCGUACGAUCUACUUCAUCGUGCACGGUUCAUGGCAGAUGAAAGAAGGGUUUUUGAUCAGCUUCACUUGAGGUCUGGUGCAGUUCAUGAGAAGAUGGAAUAUGACGAGCGAUACACGGAGUAUAUCCGGAAGACUGGGCUUCUCCCAGUUGUCUCACUCGUGUCUCGUUCGAUGCCGAAGAUGAAUCCUUGUGCGAUCACGGCACUAGUUGACCGUUGGCGCCCUGAGACACAUACUUUCCACUUCUUUGCUGGAGAGAUGACGGUGACUUUGCAGGAUGUUACAAUGAUCACUGGACUUCCUAUCAAAGGAGAGCCUAUUUGUUUUAGCACAGAUUCAGAGGGAUGGCGUGAGACUAUGGUGGGACUCAUUGGGAAGGAGCCGGGGGUGCAAGGGAAGUCCGCCGGUGCAAGUUAUCAUUGGAUUGCUGAGAACUUUAGUAAGUGCCCGGAUGAUGUUGAUGACGAAACGGUGCAACAGUAUUGCAGGGCAUACUUGUGGUAUGUAGUCAGUCGGACUCUUUUCUCGGAUGGCACGGGCGUGAAUGCUUCCUUUAUGUGGUUAAAGUUGUUUGCUGGGUGGGAACAUGGACUGAGUUGGGGUACGGCGGCACUAGCUUAUUUGUAUCGGCAGGUAACUAGUCACCCAAGAAACGCUUUGUCUUCCGUCUUCCACGUGUCACCACCUUCAUUUCCAAAUCAGGGUAUAGUGGGGGUCCAUGGUAUUCCGGCCAUUUAG